GCGUGUGUGAAGAAGGCCUUAGGGUUGUAAAGCACUUUCAGUAGGGACGAAAAGCCGCAGGCUAAUACCAGGCGGUCUUGACUUAACCUACAGAAGAAGCACCGGCUAACUCCGUGCCAGCAGCCGCGGUAAUACGGAGGGUGCAAGCGUUAAUCGGAAUUACUGGGCGUAAAGCGCGCGUAGGUGGUUUGGCAAGUCGGGUGUGAAAGCCCUGAGCUUAACUUGGGAAUUGCAUUCGAUACUGCCUGGCUAGAGUAUGGUAGAGGGAAGCGGAAUUCCGCAUGUAGCGGUGAAAUGCGU
This 300-nucleotide ribosomal RNA is filed under the name uncultured bacterium. RNAcentral describes it as "bacterial SSU rRNA". It matches the Rfam family "Bacterial small subunit ribosomal RNA", at positions 399 to 691 of the family's 1533-position model. The record is from RNAcentral.